RNAcentral lists this ribosomal RNA (479 nucleotides) under Arthrobacter sp. RNAcentral's name for it is "bacterial SSU rRNA". It matches the Rfam family "Bacterial small subunit ribosomal RNA", at positions 86 to 581 of the family's 1533-position model. The record is from RNAcentral. Lineage: Bacteria; Bacillati; Actinomycetota; Actinomycetes; Micrococcales; Micrococcaceae.
GGUGGAUUAGUGGCGAACGGGUGAGUAACACGUGUAGUAACCUGCCCUUGACUCUGGGAUAAGCCUGGGAAACUGGGUCUAAUACCGGAUAUGACCUUCCAUCGCAUGGUGGUUGGUGGAAAGCUUUUGUGGUUUUGGAUGGACUCGCGGCCUAUCAGCUUGUUGGUGGGGUAAUGGCCUACCAAGGCGACGACGGGUAGCCGGCCUGAGAGGGUGACCGGCCACACUGGGACUGAGACACGGCCCAGACUCCUACGGGAGGCAGCAGUGGGGAAUAUUGCACAAUGGGCGCAAGCCUGAUGCAGCGACGCCGCGUGAGGAUGACGGCCUUCGGGUUGAAACCUCUUUCGUAGGGAAGAAGCGUAAGUGACGGUACCUGCAGAAGAAGCGCCGGCUAACUACGUGCCAGCAGCCGCGGUAAUACGUAGGGCGCAAGCGUUAUCCGGAAUUAUUGGGCGUAAAGAGCUCGUAGGCGGUUU